RNAcentral lists this ribosomal RNA (498 nucleotides) under uncultured bacterium. Its description in RNAcentral is "partial 16S ribosomal RNA". It matches the Rfam family "Bacterial small subunit ribosomal RNA", at positions 30 to 523 of the family's 1533-position model. The record is from RNAcentral.
AUUGAACGCUGGCGGAAUGCUUUACACAUGCAAGUCGAGCGGCAGCGCGGGGCAACCUGGCGGCGAGCGGCGAACGGGUGAGUAGUGUAUCGGAACGUGUCCUGUCAUGGGGGAUAGCCCGGUGAAAACCGGAUUAAUACCGCAUACGAUCGAGAGAUGAAAGUGGGGGACCGCAAGGCCUCACGCGAUAGGAGCGGCCGAUAUCUGAUUAGCUAGUUGGUGGGGUAAAGGCCCACCAAGGCUUCGAUCAGUAGCUGGUCUGAGAGGAUGAUCAGCCACACUGGGACUGAGACACGGCCCAGACUCCUACGGGAGGCAGCAGUGGGGAAUUUUGGACAAUGGGGGCAACCCUGAUCCAGCCAUUCCGCGUGAGUGAAGAAGGCCUUCGGGUUGUAAAGCUCUUUUGUCCGGGAAGAAACGGUUUUGGCUAAUAACCAAGACUACUGACGGUACCGGAAGAAUAAGGACCGGCUAACUACGUGCCAGCCGCCGCAGUAA